UACGGAAGGCAGCAGUGGGGAAUAUUGCACAAUGGGCGCAAGCCUGAUGCAGCCAUGCCGCGUGUAUGAAGAAGGCCUUCGGGUUGUAAAGUACUUUCAGUCGUGAGGAAGGUGUUAAGGUUAAUAACCUUAGCAAUUGACGUUAGCGACAGAAGAAGCACCGGCUAACUCCGUGCCAGCAGCCGCGGUAAUACGGAGGGUGCGAGCGUUAAUCGGAAUUACUGGGCGUAAAGGGCACGCAGGCGGUUAAUUAAGUUGGAUGUGAAAUCCCCGGGCUUAACCUGGGAAUGGCAUUCAAGACUGGUUAGCUAGAGUCUUGUAGAGGGGGUAGAAUUCCAUGUGUAGCGGUGAAAUGCGUAGAGAUGUGGAGGAAUACCGGUGGCGAAGCGGCCCCUGGACAAGACUGACGCUCAUGUGCGAAAGCGUGGGGAGCGAAACAGGGAUUAGAUAC
RNAcentral lists this ribosomal RNA (451 nucleotides) under uncultured bacterium. RNAcentral describes it as "bacterial SSU rRNA". It matches the Rfam family "Bacterial small subunit ribosomal RNA", at positions 340 to 785 of the family's 1533-position model. The record is from RNAcentral.